UACGUAGGUGGCGAGCGUUGUCCGGAUUUAUUGGGCGUAAAGCGAGCGCAGGUGGUAUAUUAAGUCUGGUGUAAAAGGCAGUGGCUCAACCAUUGUAUGCAUUGGAAACUGGUAGACUUGAGUGCAGGAGAGGAGAGUGGAAUUCCAUGUGUAGCGGUGAAAUGCGUAGAUAUAUGGAGGAACACCGGUGGCGAAAGCGGCUCUCUGGCCUGUAACUGACGCUGAGGCUCGAAAGCGUGGGGAGCAAACAGG
Molecule: ribosomal RNA, 252 nt
Filed under: uncultured bacterium
Lineage: Bacteria
Description: partial 16S ribosomal RNA
Rfam family: Bacterial small subunit ribosomal RNA
Source: RNAcentral